This 19-nucleotide small nuclear RNA is filed under the name Arabidopsis thaliana (thale cress). RNAcentral describes it as "snRNA_06355". Lineage: Eukaryota; Viridiplantae; Streptophyta; Magnoliopsida; Brassicales; Brassicaceae. The record is from RNAcentral.
UACCACCGAUAAUGGUGGU